RNAcentral lists this ribosomal RNA (460 nucleotides) under uncultured bacterium. Its description in RNAcentral is "partial 16S ribosomal RNA". It matches the Rfam family "Bacterial small subunit ribosomal RNA", at positions 338 to 795 of the family's 1533-position model. The record is from RNAcentral.
CCUACGGGGGGCAGCAGUGAGGAAUAUUGGUCAAUGGACGAGAGUCUGAACCAGCCAAGUAGCGUGAAGGAUGACUGCCCUAUGGGUUGUAAACUUCUUUUAUAUGGGAAUAAAAUGUUCCACGUGUGUGAUUUUGUAUGUACCAUAUGAAUAAGGAUCGGCUAACUCCGUGCCAGCAGCCGCGGUAAUACGGAGGAUCCGAGCGUUAUCCGGAUUUAUUGGGUUUAAAGGGAGCGUAGGUGGAUUGUUAAGUCAGUUGUGAAAGUUUGCGGCUCAACCGUAAAAUUGCAGUUGAAACUGGCAGUCUUGAGUACAGUAGAGGUGGGCGGAAUUCGUGGUGUAGCGGUGAAAUGCUUAGAUAUCACGAAGAACUCCGAUUGCGAAGGCAGUUCACUGGACUGCAACUGACACUGAGGCUCGAAAGUGUGGGUAUCAAACAGGAUUAGAUACCCGGGUAGUC